Molecule: ribosomal RNA, 164 nt
Filed under: uncultured bacterium
Lineage: Bacteria
Description: partial 16S rRNA
Rfam family: Bacterial small subunit ribosomal RNA
Source: RNAcentral
UGGGGAAUAUUGCACAAGUGGGCGCAAGCCUGAUGCAGCCAUGCCGCGUGUGUGAAGAAGGCCUUGGGUUGUAAAGCACUUUCAGCGGGGAGGAAGGCGUUAAGGUUAAUAACCUUGGCGAUUGACGUUACCCGCAGAAGAAGCACCGGCUAACUCCGUACCAG